UACGAAGGGGGCUAGCGUUGCUCGGAUUGACUGGGCGUAAAGGGCGCGUAGGCGGUUCGUACAGUCAGACGUGAAAUUCCUGGGCUCAACCUGGGGGCUGCGUUUGAUACGUGCGGACUUGAGUGCGGAAGAGGGUCGUGGAAUUCCCAGUGUAGAGGUGAAAUUCGUAGAUAUUGGGAGGAACACCGGUGGCGAAGGCGGCGACCUGGGUCGAGACUGACGCUGAGGCGCGAAAGCGUGGGGAGCAAACAGG
RNAcentral lists this ribosomal RNA (253 nucleotides) under uncultured bacterium. Its description in RNAcentral is "partial 16S ribosomal RNA". It matches the Rfam family "Bacterial small subunit ribosomal RNA", at positions 524 to 776 of the family's 1533-position model. The record is from RNAcentral.